Non-coding RNA from Pelobates cultripes (western spadefoot toad), 118 nucleotides. The record is from the annotation of a GenBank genome assembly. NCBI's taxonomy places the organism in Eukaryota, Metazoa, Chordata, Amphibia, Anura, Pelobatidae.
CCCUCCUCCAUAAAUGAGAACCUCUAAAUGAGUAAAGUAUCCAUAAAAGCAUCUUGCAUCAUAUUUAUGGAUACUUUACUCAUUUAGAGGUUCUCGUUUAUGGAUGAGGGACCCCCCA